UCCAUUCUCAUUUCAAUUCUAACAUUACAAAUUGAUUUGAAAUAUAACAACAACCCCGCACAAUUUGAUUCAUUAAUAGAUGAUGCAAAUUACAGUAAAACAUAACAUCAACAACAACCCCAAUAUUACAAUGGCAAUCACAAAAAAAUUUCAUUGUUUUUCAGUUCAUCAUUCCUCUUCAACAAAGUUCGUAUAAUCUUCCUCUGUCUUACUCAAAGCUUCACCUUCACGUGUUGCUGCAGUACAUAUGGUCUUCAUCUCCAACAAAGGUACUUUAGGGUUCCAAACGAAAUAGCAGGACAAGAGAAAUAGAACAACAAAACUUGAGAUUGAUUCACGAUAGAAAUCGAACAAGAGACCUUACAAUUGAUUUACAGUCGAAAUCGAUCAAAGUUUUGCAAUUGAGAAGAGAGAAAUUUUUGGAAUUGAGAAGAGAGAAGAAACAGUUUUGCGUGUUAUGUGUUUUUUUUUUGUUGCAGGUUACCUCACGUGCUUCUUCC
This 500-nucleotide long non-coding RNA is filed under the name Trifolium pratense (red clover). RNAcentral describes it as "long non-coding RNA (TPRA_LNC004155)". The record is from RNAcentral. Lineage: Eukaryota; Viridiplantae; Streptophyta; Magnoliopsida; Fabales; Fabaceae.